This 763-nucleotide non-coding RNA is filed under the name Choroterpides apiculata (nomen nudum). Lineage: Eukaryota; Metazoa; Arthropoda; Insecta; Diptera; Culicidae. The record is from RNAcentral.
AAAAAAGUUUUAUUUUGGCUUAAAUAAUUCUUAAUUGGGAAUUUUACAUGUAAAUUUAAGUAGAAAAUUUUAGGUUCUAAAAGAUUUAAUAAUAAAACGCAGUAUUUUAUAUUAUGUAUUUAAGCAAUUUAGAUAUAGUUAGUUAAAGAGUUUCGACUAAAAUUGUGCCAGCAGUUGCGGUUAAACAAUAGAAGUAAAGAAUUAUUAUUAGUAAAGUUUUAAUAGYAUAAGUAUUUGGAAAUUUAAAAUAAAUAGGUGAAAUUAUUAUUUUAAUAUAUUAAUUAAAAUAUGAUGCAUGGAAAAAUAAAUAAUAAACUAGGAUUAGAUACCCUAUUAUAAUAUAAGUAAAUAAAAAUACUGGAGUAAUAAUAGAUAUAAUCUUUAAACUUAAAGAAUUUGGCGGUAUUUUAAUCUCUACAGAGGAAUCUGUUUCAUAAUCGAUAGUCCACGAUAUAAUUUAUUUAAUUUGGUAUAGCUUGUAUACCGCUGUUAGUUGGGUAUAAUAAAAGUUUAUACACAAGAAAUUAAAUUAAAUAAUAAGUCAAGUCAAGGUGCAGCUAAUGGUUAAAUGAUAGUGGAUUACAAUAAUUAAAUUUAAACGGAUUAUAAUUGAAAAAUUAUAUGAAGGUGGAUUUGUAUGAAAUAUUUUAAAGUAUAAAAAUAUGAAAAAGCACUAAAAUAUGUACACAUUGCCCGUCGCUCUCGUUAAUAAGAUGAGAUAAGUCGUAACAUAGUAGAUGUAUCGGAAGGUGUAUCUAGGAAG